This 468-nucleotide ribosomal RNA is filed under the name uncultured bacterium. Its description in RNAcentral is "partial 16S ribosomal RNA". It matches the Rfam family "Bacterial small subunit ribosomal RNA", at positions 28 to 507 of the family's 1533-position model. The record is from RNAcentral.
GACGAACGCUGGCGGCGUGCUUAACACAUGCAAGUCGAACGGAAAGGCCCUGCGUUUGUGGGUUGCUCGAGUGGCGAACGGGUGAGUAACACGUGAGUAACCUGCCCUUGACUUUGGGAUAACUUCAGGAACGUGGGGCUAAUACCGGAUAGGAGCUCCUGCUGCCUUGUGUCGGUUGGAAAGUUGCGGCGGUGGGGGAUGGACUCGCGGCUUGUCAGUAUGUUGGUGGGGUAGUGGCUUACCAAGGCUUUGACGGGUAGCCGGCCUGAGAGGGUGACCGGCCACAUUGGGACAGAGAUACGGCCCAGACUCCUACGGGGGGCAGCAGUGGGGAAUAUUGCACAAGGGGCGGAAGCCUGAGGCAGCAACGCCGCGUGCGAGAUGACGGCCUUCGGGUUGUAGACCGCUUUCGCCUGUGACGAAGCGUGAGUGACGGUAAUGGGUAAAGAAGCACCGGCUAACUACGUG